GACAGAGGGGGCAAGCGUUGCUCGGAAUUACUGGGCGUAAAGGGCGCGUAGGCGGGAUGGCAAGUCGGUCGUGAAAUCCUUCGGCUCAACCGAAGAACGUCGAUCGAUACUGCUGUUCUUGAGGGUUGCAGAGGAGACUGGAAUUCCCGGUGUAGCAGUGAAAUGUGUAGAGAUCGGGAGGAACACCGGUGGCGAAGGCGGGUCUCUGGGCAAUUCCUGACGCUGAGGCGCGAAAGCGUGGGGAGCAAACGGG
RNAcentral lists this ribosomal RNA (253 nucleotides) under uncultured bacterium. RNAcentral's name for it is "partial 16S ribosomal RNA". It matches the Rfam family "Bacterial small subunit ribosomal RNA", at positions 524 to 776 of the family's 1533-position model. The record is from RNAcentral.